This 274-nucleotide ribosomal RNA is filed under the name uncultured bacterium. RNAcentral's name for it is "partial 16S ribosomal RNA". It matches the Rfam family "Bacterial small subunit ribosomal RNA", at positions 523 to 796 of the family's 1533-position model. The record is from RNAcentral.
AUACGGAGGGUGCAAGCGUUAAUCGGAAUUACUGGGCGUAAAGCGCGCGUAGGCGGUUUGGUAAGUCGGAUGUGAAAGCCCCGGGCUCAACCUGGGAAUUGCAUUCGAUACUGCCAGACUAGAGUAUGGUAGAGGGAAGUGGAAUUCCGGGUGUAGCGGUGAAAUGCGUAGAUAUCCGGAGGAACACCAGUGGCGAAGGCGACUUCCUGGACCAAUACUGACGCUGAGGUGCGAAAGCGUGGGGAGCAAACAGAAUUAGAAACCCUAGUAGUCC